GACGAACGCUGGCGGCGUGCUUAACACAUGCAAGUCGAACGGAAAGGCCCUGCUUUUGUGGGGUGCUCGAGUGGCGAACGGGUGAGUAACACGUGAGUAACCUGCCCUUGACUUUGGGAUAACUUCAGGAAACUGGGGCUAAUACCGGAUAGGAGCUCCUGCUGCAUGGUGGGGGUUGGAAAGUUUCGGCGGUUGGGGAUGGACUCGCGGCUUAUCAGCUUGUUGGUGGGGUAGUGGCUUACCAAGGCUUUGACGGGUAGCCGGCCUGAGAGGGUGACCGGCGACAUUGGGCCUGAGAGACGGACCAGACUCCUACGGGAGGCAGCAGUGGGGAAUAUUGCACAAUGGGCGGAAGCCUGAUGCAGCAACGCCGCGUGCGGGAUGACGGCCUUCGGGUUGUAAACCGCUUUCGCCUGUGACGAAGCGUGAGUGACGGUAAUGGGUAAAGAAGCACCGGCUAACUACGUG
RNAcentral lists this ribosomal RNA (468 nucleotides) under uncultured bacterium. Its description in RNAcentral is "partial 16S ribosomal RNA". It matches the Rfam family "Bacterial small subunit ribosomal RNA", at positions 28 to 507 of the family's 1533-position model. The record is from RNAcentral.